AUUGAACGCUGGCGGCAGGCCUAACACAUGCAAGUCGAGCGGUAGAGAGAAGCUUGCUUCUCUUGAGAGCGGCGGACGGGUGAGUAAUGCCUAGGAAUCUGCCUGGUAGUGGGGGAUAACGUUCGGAAACGAACGCUAAUACCGCAUACGUCCUACGGGAGAAAGCCGGGGACCUUCGGGCCUUGCGCUAUCAGAUGAGCCUAGGUCGGAUUAGCUAGUUGGUGAGGUAAUGGCUCACCAAGGCGACGAUCCGUAACUGGUCUGAGAGGAUGAUCAGUCACACUGGAACUGAGACACGGUCCAGACUCCUACGGGAGGCAGCAGUGGGGAAUAUUGGACAAUGGGCGAAAGCCUGAUCCAGCCAUGCCGCGUGUGUGAAGAAGGUCUUCGGAUUGUAAAGCACUUUAAGUUGGGAGGAAGGGCAUUAACCUAAUACGUUAGUGUUUUGACGUUACCGACAGAAUAAGCACCGGCUAACUCUGUG
This 484-nucleotide ribosomal RNA is filed under the name uncultured bacterium. RNAcentral describes it as "partial 16S ribosomal RNA". It matches the Rfam family "Bacterial small subunit ribosomal RNA", at positions 30 to 507 of the family's 1533-position model. The record is from RNAcentral.